This 330-nucleotide ribosomal RNA is filed under the name uncultured bacterium. Its description in RNAcentral is "bacterial SSU rRNA". It matches the Rfam family "Bacterial small subunit ribosomal RNA", at positions 568 to 898 of the family's 1533-position model. The record is from RNAcentral.
UGUGUAGGCGGUUGGAUAAGUGUGGUGUGAAAUCUCCCGGCUUAACUGGGAGGGUGCGCUACAAACUGUCUGACUAGAGUGCGGGAUGGGAAAGUGGAAUUCCUGGUGUAGCGGUGAAAUGCGUAGAUAUCAGGAGGAACACCGGUGGUGUAGACGGCUUUCUGGACCGUAACUGACGCUGAAACACGAAAGCGUGGGUAGCAAACAGGGUUAGAUACCCUGGUAGUCCACGCCCUAAACGAUGCAUAUUUGGUGUGGGUCAUUCAUUUGAUCCGUGCCGGAGCUAACGCGUUAAAUAUGCCGCCUGGGGAGUACAGUCGCAAGGCUGAA